Molecule: ribosomal RNA, 253 nt
Filed under: uncultured bacterium
Lineage: Bacteria
Description: partial 16S ribosomal RNA
Rfam family: Bacterial small subunit ribosomal RNA
Source: RNAcentral
UACGGAGGGGGCUAGCGUUGUUCGGAAUUACUGGGCGUAAAGCGCACGUAGGCGGCUUUGUAAGUUAGAGGUGAAAGCCCGGGGCUCAACCUCGGAACUGCCUUUGAUACUGCAAAUCUCGAGUCCGGAAGAGGUGAGUGGAAUUCCUAGUGUAGAGGUGAAAUUCGUAGAUAUUAGGAGGAACACCAGUGGCGAAGGCGGCUCACUGGUCCGGUACUGACGCUGAGGUGCGAAAGCGUGGGGAGCAAACAGG